Molecule: RNA transcript, 1606 nt
Organism: Sapajus apella (tufted capuchin)
Lineage: Eukaryota; Metazoa; Chordata; Mammalia; Primates; Cebidae
Gene name: 26S proteasome regulatory subunit 10B-like
Exons: 2
Source: RefSeq, a predicted model, not a curated record
AUGCCCACUAAAUCUAUCAUUGAAAGAAAGAAGCAGCUUCUCCUCGUGGUAGACCCCAGAAGUAAGGCGCUUCAGGACUACCGGAAGAAGCUGCUUGAGCACAGGGAGAUCAACAGCUGUCUUAAGGAGUUCGACAGCCAUCUUAAGGAGUUAAGGAAACAAUUAAAAGAACUUACAAGCAGUAUGAAAAGUCUGAAAAUGAUCUGAAGGUCCUACCAAGUGUUGGGCAGAUUGUGGGUGAAGCCCUUCAACAGUUAACUGAAGAAAAAUUCUUUGUUAAAGCCACAAAUGGACCAAGAAAUGUUGUGGGUUGUUGUCAACAGCUUGACAAAAGUAAGCUGAAGCCAGGAAUAAGAGUUGCUUUGGAUAUGACAACACUAACUCUCAUGAGAUAUUUGCUAAGAGAGGUGGAUCCACUGAUUUAUAUGUCUCAUGAGGACCCUGGGAAUGUUUCUUAUUCUGAGAUUGGAGGGCUAGCAAAACAUCCGGGAAUUAAGAGAGGUAAUAGAAUUACCUCUUACAAACCCAGAGUUAUUUCAGCAUGUAGGAAUAAUACCUCCAAAAGGCUGUUUGUUUACAGACCACCAGGUACAGUGAAAACACUCUUGGCACGAGCCAUUGCUAGCCAGCUGGACUGCAAUUUCUUAAGGCUGUUAUCUCGUUUUAUUGUAGACAAGCACAUUGGUGAAAGAGCUCGUCUGAUCAGAGAAAUGUUUAAUUAUGCCAGGGACUGUCAACGAUGAAUCAUUUUUAUAGAUGAAAUGGAUACUAUUGGUGGUCGUUUGUUUUCUGAGGGUACUUCAGCUGACAGAGAGUGUCACAGAACUUUAAUGGAGUUACUGAAUCAAAUGGAUGGAUUUGAUACUCUGCAUAGAGUUAAAAUGGUCGUGGCUACAAACAGACCAAAUAUACUAGAUCCUGCUUCCUGAUCGAGGAAUAUUAGAUAGAAAAAUACAUAUUGAUUUGCCAAAUGAACAAGCAAGAUUAGACCUACUGAAGAUCCAUGUAGGUCCCAUUACAAAGCAUGGUGAAAUAGAUUAUGAAGCAAUUGUGAAGCUUUCAGAUAGCUUUAAUGGAGCAGACCUGAGAAGUGUUUGUACUGAGGCAGGUAUGUUCACAAUUUGCGCUGAUCAUGAUUUUGCAGUACAGGAAAACUUCAUGAAAGCAGUCAGGAAAGUGGCUGAUUCUAAGAAACUAGAGACUAAGUUGGACUGCAAACCUGUGUAAUUUACUGUAAGGUUUUUGAUGGCUGCAUGACAGAUGUUGACUUAAUGUAAAAAUAGAGUUAAAGAAAAUUAUGUAUUGGCAAUGAUGUCAUUAAAAGUAUAUGAAUAAAAAUAUGCAUGAGUAACAUCAUAAAAAUUAGUAAUACAACUUUUUAAGAUUGAUACAGAAGAAAUUUGUAUGUUUGUUAAUGUUGCAUUUUUUGCAGCAAGUUACAAAGGAAGAGUGUGUUGACGCUUUUCAUAUUUGCUGUGUGAGCAUUUUGUAAAACAUUGAAAGUGGUUUGAGAUAGUAGUAAAAGACAGCAUUUCUUAUGACUUAUUUUGUACAUUUGUUUUCCUCAUCUAAAAAGUUGAAUAAAAUCUGUUUAAUUUAAUUAUCC